RNAcentral lists this long non-coding RNA (251 nucleotides) under Homo sapiens (human). RNAcentral's name for it is "non-protein coding lnc-OR4F5-7:3". The record is from RNAcentral. Lineage: Eukaryota; Metazoa; Chordata; Mammalia; Primates; Hominidae.
UUAACAGACACAGACGACCCUGAAGAUGGAAACGUUUUCUUCCAAAUUGUGCUGCACGUUUUUGGCGAGAGCAUGGGGCUGUGCGGCGUCCCCUCCCUGGCGCCCACCUGUGCCCUGCACACUGGCCUGCACUGUGGUGAUCUCGCUUGGCCCCCACCUGAUUCCCGACAUACAGCAGAGGAACCUUAGGCUCAGGUGGAACAGCCUCAACUGAUUCUGUCCCUGAACUUCCGUACACAGCCCUGGAGUCG